This 440-nucleotide ribosomal RNA is filed under the name uncultured bacterium. RNAcentral describes it as "partial 16S ribosomal RNA". It matches the Rfam family "Bacterial small subunit ribosomal RNA", at positions 339 to 795 of the family's 1533-position model. The record is from RNAcentral.
CUACGGGACGCAGCAGUGAGGAAUAUUGCGCAAUGAGCGAAAGCUAGACGCAGCAACGCCGCGUGAGCGAAGAAGGCCUUCGGGUUGUAAAGCUCUUUUCUGUGUGAAGAGAAGGACGGUAGCACAGGAAUAAGUGUCGGCUAACUACGUGCCAGCAGCCGCGGUAAAACGUAGGACGCAAGCGUUAUCCGGAUUUACUGGGCGUAAAGCGCGUGCAGGCGGUCAGUUAAGUUAUGCGUGAAAGCUCCCUGGCUCAACCGGGAGAGGCCGUAUAAAACUGAUUGACUAGAAGGCAGCAGAGGGGUGUGGAAUUCCAGGUGUAGUGGUGAAAUGCGUAGAGAUCUGGAGGAACACCAGUGGCGAAGGCGACACGCUGGGCUGCACUUGACGCUAAGACGCGAAAGCGUGGGUAGCGAACGGGAUUAGAUACCCUUGUAGUC